UGAGGGACCACAGCAUGCCCGUGACAA
Molecule: non-coding RNA, 27 nt
Filed under: Mus musculus (house mouse)
Lineage: Eukaryota; Metazoa; Chordata; Mammalia; Rodentia; Muridae
Source: RNAcentral